GCUGGGAUGGCGGAAUUGGUAUACGCGCUAGUCUUAGGAACUAGUGCCUAUUGGCUUGAGGGUUCGAGUCCCUCUCCCAGCACCA
RNAcentral lists this transfer RNA (85 nucleotides) under Candidatus Uhrbacteria bacterium RIFOXYA2_FULL_40_9. Its description in RNAcentral is "tRNA-Leu". It matches the Rfam family "tRNA". Rfam says of the family: Transfer RNA (tRNA) molecules are approximately 80 nucleotides in length. RNAcentral also lists the same sequence under 2 other names. Lineage: Bacteria; Candidatus Uhriibacteriota. The record is from RNAcentral.